ACCCCAUAAAUAAAGUCUUAGACUUUUUUUAGAAA
Molecule: transfer RNA, 35 nt
Filed under: Neodiprion excitans (blackheaded pine sawfly)
Lineage: Eukaryota; Metazoa; Arthropoda; Insecta; Hymenoptera; Diprionidae
Description: tRNA-Leu
Source: RNAcentral